RNAcentral lists this long non-coding RNA (1877 nucleotides) under Triticum aestivum (bread wheat). RNAcentral's name for it is "long non-coding RNA (TAES_LNC011522)". The record is from RNAcentral. Lineage: Eukaryota; Viridiplantae; Streptophyta; Magnoliopsida; Poales; Poaceae.
AUUUGCAUAUGAAAUCACCAGAAUUUUCGCCAUGGCUCUGGUUCUUGACAUGGUGCUUAAAAGCACUCAUCCCAUCUUGAUUAUUCGCAUACAGUUUUUUGUUUUUGUUUUUACGGAUUCACUUCUAUCGACAUUUUUUUAUGUCCCUUUUUAUGACCAGCUUGGUCAUUUGGUCUGGAUGGAGUCAUUCAACUCGGAAAGAAAAAAGAAUUUGAGAAUGCUUUAUCUUUCAUGCAAUAGUUGCGGUCAAUUGUUCUUGGUUUUUCCUGUAGUAGUUGAUAAUCAGUCUGAACAAUAGUAGAUUAGUAAAGCCAAUAGCAGUUAAUUUGAGACGACUUUUAUCUUCCCUACAGUAGUUAAGGUUGAUUGUUCUUAGUUUUCCCUGUAGUGUUUAAUUUGAUUGUUCUGAGCAUUCAAAUUGUACUCUGUUUGUUUCUCUCCUACUCUUUUCUGACAAAUGUUAUUAUCUGUGCUUCAUUACUACUCUCUCUAAAUCAUGUGAGAGUUGAAUGAUGUUGCAGGAUAACUAUUGAUGGUGAAAAGAUUGUUGUUUUUUAUACUGGUAUAGGGGGGGUAUAAUACAAAUGGUCCUUCAAAUCCAGUUGGAAGCUCCUCCCUGUAAUUGAUGAAGGCAGGAUUUACUAUUUCUUGGGAGUAAGAGGUUUAUUUGUUGAACCAUGAUAUCUAAGGGAGUAAGAGGCAACGUCCAGGUUGGUACAUAAUGGUUCUUAGUCUUUUGCUUUAUGACAUCGAAUGAACUUUGCCAUUCUAAGUGUCUAUCAUGUCCUGCAUAGUUUUUUAUUUUGUGUAAGCUAAGAGUAUUCAUAGUUCCAUUUUCCUAUUUUUGGCAGGGGUAUCUAAGAGAGCUGGUCCAGGCUUGAUGGAAAUCGCUUAGUACAUUCAUGGGAUCACAAACUUUUGGCGUUGGUUGAGAUUAGUGACGCAUGACCAUUAAUAACUAGAAGACUGUGACAAUUAACUUACUGUUUCAUGAAUUAGAGAGGCUGGGUUGGACCAACUCCAUGUUACAGGCCCUUUCCUCAUUGCAUUUCUCUUGACAUUAAAUUGAUUAAAUUAUAAUUUCAGUAGGAAAUCUACAACAUACUCAAAUCAUUAUGAUUACUCUUUCCUGUUUUUGUUUCUAUAUCUAAUUGAUAUAUAGAUUUUGCAUCUUGUCCUAUGACAUGUACUUCUGUAGUUGUGUCCAUUGGACUUACUCUUUUCAUUGUGGCAUCAUGAUUCCUCCUUUUCUUGGCUUGCUAUAUAUGUUUGUUUCAUGGUCCAGUUGGUGUUCCAAAAAUAUGCUCAAUUGUUAUAUGUAUCAAAUACAGUCUCUCCCAGUGGUGUACCAUCUGCUUAUUGUUUUACAUACAGUCGCUUGAUUAUUUUUGUUCCUCUAUAGGCCUCUGGUCUUGUCUGCAGUGUACGGCUAGGUUGUUCGUCCGCCUGGGUCGUAGGUUCUUUCCUUCCUGUUGACGGCAGGUACAAGACUCGAGCAAUGGUUAACGGGCAAGCACUAUAUACACCAUUCAUCUAUGCUAAUAUAGCCCGUCUUUUAAAGCCAAUGUAUGCUAUCACCAAUUGAUCGGAAUAUUUUCUUUCAAGCAUAGCUUUCAUGUAAUGGAAUAUAAGUAUCUUUAUAAGUUGAUUCUAAAUCAAUCUCAUACACAUACUUUGAAUGCUUGGCUCGCUCUCGCUUUUUGCGCCAUGGUCAAGGGUGCAACGAUGACUCUGUCUAAUGUUUAUCACUUCAUAGCGCCUAUAUGUGACUAUCUACUUUGUUUGCUAAUAACAUUGUAAAUAAUUAAUCGUAAGCUUCUUAGAACACUAUGUAUCAUUACUAAGUAUCUAUCUACCAGCAAUAAGUACUUAUUUUC